Non-coding RNA from Terriglobus saanensis SP1PR4, 236 nucleotides. The record is from Rfam. Lineage: Bacteria; Pseudomonadati; Acidobacteriota; Terriglobia; Terriglobales; Acidobacteriaceae.
GUGAGGAUCACUACGUGCUUUUUCAUUUGUUACUGCAGAGGAAUGCAUUGGGAAGCGCGGUGAGAAUCCGCCACUGCCCCGCAACUGUAAGCGCACCAUGGUCCCAUGGGCCGGAACGGUUUUCGCAAUCGAGGAAGCUUCGCACUGUGGCUCAGGGCCGCGGGAAGGGAAGCGGUCCAGAUAUCGUUGCAGCCGGGCGCGUAAGUCAGGAGACCGAUUCCACUGCUGACACCAGC